GUGCUCACUUCGGCAGCACAUAUAGUAAAUGGAACGAUACAGAGAAGAUUAGCAUGGCCCCUGAGCAAGGAUGACACUCAAAUUCGUGAAAUGUUCCAUAUGUUU
Bos grunniens (domestic yak) is the source of this 105-nucleotide small nuclear RNA. The record is from Ensembl. NCBI's taxonomy places the organism in Eukaryota, Metazoa, Chordata, Mammalia, Artiodactyla, Bovidae.